UUGAUCUAGAACUAUACCAUCAGCUCUCCUGGUUCUCCGGCUUGUCUACUACUGAAUUUGUUGGGAUUUGUCAGCCUUCAUAAUCAUUGUGAAACAGCAAGAAUAUGUCCAGUAGCACAUUUUCUCUGGUGCUUUACGUGGAGUAGCUCCUAGACUGGCAGCCAUUUCCCAUAGAAGCUAUAAGGGAAAAGCAGUGGGCCUGUUUUCCUGGUCUGUGACCCUCAGAAGUGUUUCUUACGAUUUUUUGUUAUGGAAGACAAGAAGAGAGAGACGUGGAGCUGAGAAAAAAGAGAGAGACGUGGAGCUGGGAAAAAGCCCUUCCUCCUUUGUGGGUUUAGUUGCAGAAAGAGCCUUAAAUGUCCAGGAGGUGAUCUCAUCUUUCAAUUUAGUGGAGCCAUUGUUGUGUGCCUUUUGCUGGAAUCAUCCCAUCAUCCCAUCUUGACAAUUAAUAUCUCCAAAGAAACAGAGCUCAAAGUUACCAGCUUCAACCCACUGAAGAAAGGAACAUACACAGAAGAGGAAAACAUGGUGACUGAAAUAACACAGACUAUGCAUGAGGUGAAAUCAUUACAAUCUGGAAUUAUCAAGCUUGAAAAAGGAGAACUAACUUGGGAGACUUACAGUGCU
This is a long non-coding RNA of Hyaena hyaena (striped hyena), 627 nucleotides long. RefSeq lists it as uncharacterized. The record is from RefSeq and is a predicted model, not a curated record. Lineage: Eukaryota; Metazoa; Chordata; Mammalia; Carnivora; Hyaenidae. The transcript is spliced from 5 exons.